UGACAUGGUGGACGCUCCUGGGGGCACACCUGGCAUCGGAGACCUCCUCGAUUUCCUUGGAGGGUGGUACAAUCACGUGAUAACAGACUGGAGGUUCAUCAUGAGACAGCCCCUGCAAAGUCCCAGGGUAUCUCGAAAUUGGUUGCUUGAUUCGAGCGGCCCGCUUGAGGGGCUACUGUGAACAGUUUUUGACAUUGCCUGCAUGGCUAAGAGAAAAAGCACGGAAAAUGCAGCGAUCAUGGAUUAAGGAUGACGGCAGCUUGUAUUGAUCGCCCUGUCUUCAAUAUGUCUGGUGUCCUUUGGUAUUGGAAGGAAAGGCCUUAUUUGUUGGGAAACAAACGACAAGAGUGUUGGCAACUUGAUCAUUGGUUAUUUAUUACAUGCGCUUGGCCAUGGGGUCGUACUAAGAUGCGAUAAACCAAAUGUUCAACCGAGGGCUUGUGGACAAAAUGAGAGAAUCCCUCCUGCUUUCAAGCCGAUUUAAUCAUCCAAAACUACUCGCUUGCAAAGAUGAAUACUAGGAAUCUUGGCAGCUCCUUAUGCCACCCCUUGCUGCUUACUCGAUUCGGAGCCUGACUUUGAUGGAGAGCAAGAAUUAUAUCUUUUCGCGUAUUCCGCGGCGCAGCUGGAAUGUUCAUGGAUGAUAUGCUGGCCGCGGUUACACUGUGGAUGGAAGGAGGGAGG
Molecule: small RNA, 684 nt
Filed under: Histoplasma ohiense
Lineage: Eukaryota; Fungi; Ascomycota; Eurotiomycetes; Onygenales; Ajellomycetaceae
Description: hypothetical lncRNA
Source: RNAcentral